RNAcentral lists this ribosomal RNA (340 nucleotides) under uncultured bacterium. RNAcentral describes it as "bacterial SSU rRNA". It matches the Rfam family "Bacterial small subunit ribosomal RNA", at positions 72 to 422 of the family's 1533-position model. The record is from RNAcentral.
CUUGAGGCUUGCCUUGGGGAGAGUGGCGCACGGGUGAGUAGCGCGUGGGAACCUGCCUUGGAGUGGGGGAUAACCGAGGGAAACUUCGGCUAAUACCGCAUGCGCCCGGGGGCGACCCCGGGGAAAGAUUUAUCGCUCUAAGAGGGGCCCGCGUCGGAUUAGGUAGUUGGUGGGGUAACGGCCUACCAAGCCGAUGAUCCGUAGCUGGUCUGAGAGGAUGAUCAGCCACACUGGGACUGAGACACGGCCCAGACUCCUACGGGAGGCAGCAGUGGGGAAUAUUGGACAAUGGGCGCAAGCCUGAUCCAGCAAUGCCGCGUGAGUGAGGAAGGCCUUAGGG